AGUUUAUGUAUCAUCCAUGAUCUCAGUUGUUAUCUCCAAAAAGCCACAAUUGACCACCCAUAUAUUAUUUCUGCAGGUUAAGAAGCCUCACACCCCUUUAUUGAAGCCAAAGGCUUAUGCUGACAAUUUCAAGUGGAAGGGCCCGGCGCCAAACUGAGGAACAUUGAUCUUUCAGUUCGCCCCUACUUUGGUUCAUAUUGAAGAGAGGUUCCAUCACAAGCUGUCAUCUUCUUUGUUGUGUCUGGGACAUAGUCCAGACUUCAAACUCCAUUGUUCUUUGUCGUGUACCGGAUGUAUUGUUGCUCCAUGAUGAUAGCUCAGUGGUUAUAAUAAUUGGCUAGAGAAUGGUUCUUUUUUGCCUUCCUACUA
Molecule: long non-coding RNA, 369 nt
Organism: Eucalyptus grandis
Lineage: Eukaryota; Viridiplantae; Streptophyta; Magnoliopsida; Myrtales; Myrtaceae
Exons: 2
Source: RefSeq, a predicted model, not a curated record